AUGUAGCAUUUGCAGCUAAAAUCAAUGGAGGCUUUCAAAUGGAAAAGAACAGAAAGAAAGAACAGGGAAAGAACAGGGUCCUACACUGGCUGCACUUAUUUACAGCAAAGAAUUCUUUGCAGCUCUUCCUGUGGACAGAGAGCAUGAGCAGAUGGUGUCCACUCAGCCUUGCUCUUUGUAACAUGAUGGAACCAAAGAAAUCUCUCUUCUACCAGACAGUAAGAACCUAGGUUGCUGGCACAACAUGUCAACUGCAUAAAACCCCUUAAAAUAAAGGUGGCUCAUUUCCAAGUAAA
Molecule: long non-coding RNA, 296 nt
Organism: Taeniopygia guttata (zebra finch)
Lineage: Eukaryota; Metazoa; Chordata; Aves; Passeriformes; Estrildidae
Source: RefSeq, a predicted model, not a curated record